This 253-nucleotide ribosomal RNA is filed under the name uncultured bacterium. RNAcentral's name for it is "partial 16S ribosomal RNA". It matches the Rfam family "Bacterial small subunit ribosomal RNA", at positions 524 to 776 of the family's 1533-position model. The record is from RNAcentral.
UACGUAGGGCGCAAGCGUUGUCCGGAAUUAUUGGGCGUAAAGAGCUCGUAGGCGGCUUGUCACGUCGGGUGUGAAAGCCCGGGGCUUAACCCCGGGCGUGCAGUGGAUACGGGCAGGCUGGAGGCAGGCAGGGGAGAACGGAAUUCCCGGUGUAGCGGUGAAAUGCGCAGAUAUCGGGAGGAACACCGGUGGCGAAGGCGGUUCUCUGGGCCUGUACUGACGCUGAGGAGCGAAAGCGUGGGGAGCAAACAGG